CGGCAACCCGAUUGAUUAAAAUGUCUCACGUGCCACUCAGUACUUCCUUGUUUGAAAAUAUCUCCCGCGAAGAAUCAACGUAAAGACAGACAAAAUGAGAAAAUCUCGAAGAAUAUACCUACAGUAUGUGAAUAAAAAUGGGCGAUCUCAGGUAGCCAAUGUGAGAAAAACAGUGAUUGAAAGAAACAUAUUGCUUGAUCCGCCGAUAGUGGCAGUGGCAGUACAGGGAAAGGAGGUAGCCCGCUGCAGCGCGUUGAGACGCGAAUUAGUUGAGAUGAAGAUGACGACAUGCAGCGAUCAACCAGACAGCAGCCGGUAACAGUGGCUUUUAUUCCACAGGUCUCAAAUAAACCAACUCAUACAUGAUUGGAUUUGCUCUAAGUGUCUAAACACUGGACUGAAAAUCACCAUAGACUUCACCAACCAGAUUCUGUAAUUCUGUCAUGAGUGCAGACUGUGAAGGUGAUCGUGAUGCAUUUAGGAGGAGUGUUUACACUUCCUCCAGGCUGCAAGAGUGCUCCAGGGGAGAUGUGGCGUUUGAUAUGAAUGUGAGGAUGGUUCUUCUAGCCCACGAACUUGGACUUGGUUAUGCAGCUCUAAAGAAAAUAAGUCCUAGGAAUUCCUUCCUUGUGUCUCAGCUCAUAUCAGAGACAUGAGAGGAGAAUGACAGACCAGAGGACAUUUCUCCAAAAAGUACAAUCUUCCCAUGAUGUCAAGCAAAGAGGCACUGAGUUUGACGUAACUAUGCCUGCCUGCCUGCCUGCCUGCCUGCCUGCCUGCCUGCCUGCCUGCCUGCCUGCCUGCCUGCCUGCCUGCCUGCCUGGGCAUGAUUAAAUAUGGAUCUGGGGCCAGAGUUUCACAGCAGCACCUCAGAGGAGAGGAAAAACACACUGCACUGAAGAAGGAAAGCCUCUGCUCAGGAAGGAGGCGCGGCGUUCCUUCGUGGGGGAAUUUUGUCAUCAGACUUUGUCAAAAAAGUCUGGCAUUCUUUGGAUUUAUGGAGCUUCCAAGACAACUGGGUUGAAUAAUGAUGACGUCAGUGAUCUUCAGGUCAUAGUUCUAAAAAGAGGCCCAUGUUCCCGACUUCCUGAGUUGGAUGACCGUUCAAAACGUAUUCUCCCAGUCAGAGCUCCCGAAUGUCUUGAACUCACUGAAGUCAGAUUUCUCAGUUCCGAGUUAAGUUGUUUUGAGCGCGGCAGAAAUCAUUCUGGAUUGACAGCAUGGCCAAUGUUUAUCAUUUUAGGCUUGUAAAAGAGACCCUUAAACCCAGACUUGGGACCACACUGCUACUCCACUGAAUAACAGGCUAGUGAUUGCUUUGCAAUGCUUGCAGUUAGCCACUGAUUCCUUCCAAACCACUCAUUGUUGAAUUUGCAAUUUCCAACUUGUUGCGUAAUGUUUAUGUCUAAUGGCCGAUGAGCACCGACACGUUUUAUCUAUAAUUUCUCUUCAUUAUUUUUCUUCAUAUGACAAGUAGAUUGUCGACUUGAUUCAUGAUGAUGACUGCUAGCUAAGAUUUUGAAAGUAUGAGUCCAAUCAAAGCUACUGUAGAUAUAACGUGAUUUGAUGUCAUUUUAUCUGUGGCCAAUGACCUUGAGCCUUCUUGGAUGGGCACUUCUAAUGUAACUCUAUGGCAGCACCCAAGGGGCUUGAAUUUUCAAGCUCUACCCUUAGAUUUGGCGGUGAUGUAGUGUCCCCAUGAGUGACAGAACACUGAGCCAAUCACAGCACAAUUAGAGGACAUUACCAACCCGUACGUUCCGUAUUUUCCGCUGGCUGCCCCACUACCACAGAAAGCACUGAGCUAGGCUGAAACAUCUGCAUUUGGAGCUGCCUUAAGAAAGCAAAAAAGGCUUUAUUUGCAAACUGAUAUAUGACACGUAUUAAUGCCAAAUAACAAGCAAAACAGGCAACCCCAUCCCCCAAAAAAGACUGACGGGUUGCCACUGAGAAUAACCAUGAAAAUAUUGUCAUAUUGCUGUGCUUCUCCGAGAGCAGGGCUUUGGUGUACUGAAGACAAGCACUUGUAUUUUGUUUGACCUGACUAAAAUCAUCUGGAUUGAAACAUUGUCAUCUUAGGUGGUAAUGUGGAGUACACAGUAUGCCGACAUCUCUUUUCUUUUCAUGUUCUGACAACCUGGCCAUAUUCAAGGUUCUGUUACAUUUGUAUUUUAGCUGUUACGUAGAACAAAAGAUGGCCACGGAUACAACAGGACUGUAUGUGAAGUGCAAGACUGGGAGGUGUGUGAUUAAAGGCAGGGAAAGGAACAUGGUAUUGCUUGUAGAGAAGGGGUGUGUUGUCUGUCUGUCAGGUCUGGGUGUAGGGUGAUUCAUCGGAGUGGAGAAAGUGCUUUGUGUGUCAUUAGCCCCUUGUCUGGGUCCUGCACAUCAGAAGAGUGAUGGGCCCCAGGGCUUUACAGUCACAGAAAGGACUGCUGUUUUCUUCCACCACUCUCAAAUUGAUUGUAUGUGUUAAUUGCCGCCAUUGAUUAGCAGCAGAGCAGAUGUGAGGCUGCUUCAAUGGGCCUGGAUGUCCAGGAGUGAGUAGAGGGAGAUGUUGCCGUCUUUAAAGGGGCAAUCCGCAAUUGCUACAUUCAUUUUUGGACUUAGUGAUAUAUGCCCAUUGACUCUUGAAGAAAAUUAUUAAUUAUGCCUUGUGAGCUAAGUUCAACUGUCGUACUACUACAGAAGCCAAAAUAUAAGCUUGUUUUACUCCAAUGUUUGUAAACAACAUACAUGUAAACAAACACUGUAUAGCCUCAAAACAUGGUUACAAAUAUUAUUUUGAUAACAGUGGUGGGAUGCCCACUUUGUUAUUGUUUCAGCUGUGGAUUGGUCCUUUAAGAAACAGUACUAAAGUCCCUCUGUAAAUCACAUUCCAGCCAACGUAAACACCAAGGUGCACUUUAACUGUCGUCCAUUUUAGCCCAGGAAGGGGAAAUCUGAUUUAUCACAUAACUCCAUCCUCUCAGAAUAUUACAAAUAAGCUUUUCUACCAAUCACUGAUCAUGGUAAUAGACAGCCAGGUUAAGCUUAUUCUUUUCACCUAUUCAGCAGAGCAAACCUAAGUUAAGGUCAAACAACAGAAUUGCUUCCCCUCCCUGCAGGUGGUGAUGUGGCCUUGGGCUAGCUAUGUCCUAGCGUUUUAGUAUGCCGCCUGGUUAGCAUUGAGAGAGCUGGUGGAGGUACACCACAGUUCUUAAGGGAUUCUCAGGCUAAAUAAAUCAAAUAAAAGGGCUGAGGAAAGAAAGGGGCUUAUGCAGAAAUAGGUGAUAUUAGCUUUGUGAUUGAUUGGGGAGACAGGGACUCUGAGACAGAGGGAGAGAGGUAGGGAGCUAGAGCUAGAGCUAGAGCUAGCAGGUAGUUUGGUUUGUGUAAUGUUUCUUCUGUUAAUUAUCAUGUCCCCCUGUGAUAAUCUUCCCCCCUCGGCUCCCUCUCUUUCUCACUCUCUUUAUGCAUUUUAUAAAUGCCUGCUUUUAAUUAAACCCACACAACGGUGACAGAGUCAAUUAAACGCUAUGCAACAGACACAGAUCGUCAUCAUACACUAUAAUAAUAAUAUCUAUUUGUUGCAUUCCACUUAUUUUAUCGUAUGUAGGGCUGCAAAGCUUCCGAUAAGAAGACAGUGAAUGUUCCUGAGUGGCCGAGUUACAGUUUUGACUUAAAUCUACUUGAAAAUCUAUAGCAAGAAAUUGGUUGUCUAGCAAUGAUCAACCAAUUUGACAGAGCUUGAAGAAUUCUGAAAAGAUAAUGGGCAAAUAUUGUUCAAUCGAGGUGUGCAAAGCUCUUAGAGAUUUACCCAGA
Molecule: long non-coding RNA, 3804 nt
Filed under: Salmo salar (Atlantic salmon)
Lineage: Eukaryota; Metazoa; Chordata; Actinopteri; Salmoniformes; Salmonidae
Description: lncRNA (ENSSSAG00000120879.1)
Source: RNAcentral